Molecule: long non-coding RNA, 152 nt
Organism: Octopus sinensis (East Asian common octopus)
Lineage: Eukaryota; Metazoa; Mollusca; Cephalopoda; Octopoda; Octopodidae
Exons: 3
Source: RefSeq, a predicted model, not a curated record
CGCAGUCAAAUGACUGAAACAAGUAAAAGAGUAAAAGAUAGUAUCUGAAAGUCGGCUAUAACAAUGUAGUCUUCCAGUCUCAUUGCUAUGUAGGUAUGAUGUCGUGGAGAAAAAUCAAUUGGAGGAAAAAGUUACAGAGGUUUACAAAUCGG